UACGUAGGCAGCGAGCGUUGUUCGGAGUUACUGGGCGUAAAGGGUGUGUAGGCGGUUGUUUAAGUUUGGUGUGAAAUCUCCCGGCUCAACUGGGAGGGUGCGCCGAAUACUGAAUGACUUGGAGUGCGGGGAGAGGAAAGUGGGAAUUCCUGGUGUAGCGGUGAAAUGCGUAGAUAUCAGGAGGAACACCGGUGGUGUAGACGGCUUUCUGGACCGUAACUGACGCUGAGACACGAAAAGCGUGGGGUAGCAAAACAGG
RNAcentral lists this ribosomal RNA (259 nucleotides) under uncultured bacterium. RNAcentral's name for it is "partial 16S ribosomal RNA". It matches the Rfam family "Bacterial small subunit ribosomal RNA", at positions 524 to 776 of the family's 1533-position model. The record is from RNAcentral.